GACGAACGCUGGCGGCGUGCCUAAUACAUGCAAGUAGAACGCUGAAGGAGGAGCUUGCUCUUCUGGAUGAGUUGCGAACGGGUGAGUAACGCGUAGGUAACCUGCCUGGUAGUGGGGGAUAACUAUUGGAAACGAUAGCUAAUACCGCAUAAUAACAGUUGUUGCAUGACAACUGUUUGAAAGGUGCAAUUGCAUCACUACCAGAUGGACCUGCGUUGUAUUAGCUAGUUGGUGGGGUAACGGCUCACCAAGGCGACGAUACAUAGCCGACCUGAGAGGGGGAUCGGCCACACUGGGACUGAGACACGGCCCAGACUCCUACGGGAGGCAGCAGUAGGGAAUCUUCGGCAAUGGACGAAAGUCUGACCGAGCAACGCCGCGUGAGUGAAGAAGGUUUUCGGAUCGUAAAGCUCUGUUGUAAGAGAAGAACGAGUGUGAGAGUGGAAAGUUCACACUGUGACGGUAUCUUACCAGAAAGGGACGGCUAACUACGU
This 494-nucleotide ribosomal RNA is filed under the name uncultured bacterium. RNAcentral describes it as "partial 16S ribosomal RNA". It matches the Rfam family "Bacterial small subunit ribosomal RNA", at positions 28 to 506 of the family's 1533-position model. The record is from RNAcentral.